UUCGUAGGCGGUGCGGCAAGUCGGGAGUGAAAUCUCUGGGCUUAACCCAGAGGCUGCUUCCGAAACUGCUGUGCUAGAGUGCGGGAGAGGCGAGUGGAAUUGCAGGUGUAGCGGUGAAAUGCGUAGAUAUCUGCAGGAACACCCGUGGCGAAGGCGGCUCGCUGGACCGCAACUGACGCUGAGGAACGAAAGCUAGGGGAGCAAACAGGAUUAGAUACCCUGGUAGUCCUAGCCCUAAACCAUCAGGACUUGGGGUGCAUCCCGUUCGGGGUGCGUCCCGUAGCUAACGCGUUAAGUCCUGCGCCUGGGGAGUACGGUCGCAAGGCUGAA
This 330-nucleotide ribosomal RNA is filed under the name uncultured bacterium. Its description in RNAcentral is "bacterial SSU rRNA". It matches the Rfam family "Bacterial small subunit ribosomal RNA", at positions 568 to 898 of the family's 1533-position model. The record is from RNAcentral.